GACAAACCUAAGGUUAUGGUCUGCAGCUCACUGUGUUUUACUCUAAUAUAAAUGAUAACUUUGUUUAUAAUAUAUGUAGUAUUAUAUAUAGUAUUUAUAUUGUAACCAGGGCCAUUUCUGAGCAUAAAGGGUUCCUCAGCAAAGUACUUACUUCCAUUAUCACUAGCAGAAUUUGUAUUUGAAGGCAAGAUCAUCAGUGAUGCUUUCAUUGUUUAUUUAUAUAGAUAAAUAGAUUAUUACCUCAAACACUGAGAUGACUUCAGCUGCACACACACACACACAUGUUGUUAAUAACACAAUGUAUUUAUGCAUGUCUUAUUUAUGUCACAUUAUGUUUGAACUGAACUAAUUACAAUGAUACACAGAUCCAGCUGACAGUGCAUCAGAGACUGUAGACUUUAUGACUGAUGGAUCAUUAUUCAGAGUGAUUUUGAUAAUUGUUGAGAUUGCAGUGUUUGCGGCUCCUACUGUGAUUCUCCUUCAGAGUCUCUGUACAAGAGCUGGAAGGAAGAACUCUCACCACCCAAAGGAAAAAGAGAUGUCUACAGUAUUACAAUGAAAUACCCUUUAUAAAUGUACUAUUUAUAAAAAGAUUCCAGCACAAUUUAUUUUAAAGCUUAUGGAUAUUUUAGAUAUUUGCAUACAGCUUUCAAUGUCAUUUUCCAUUGCUCUAUAUUGUACAGACUGCUUUUAAAUAUGAUAUGAAAUAAAGUAAUCAACAGAGCGAGACAGAUACCUUAAUAAAAAUAUGAUUGUUUACACAG
Carassius gibelio (silver crucian carp) is the source of this 764-nucleotide long non-coding RNA. RefSeq lists it as uncharacterized. NCBI's taxonomy places the organism in Eukaryota, Metazoa, Chordata, Actinopteri, Cypriniformes, Cyprinidae. The transcript is spliced from 3 exons. The record is from RefSeq and is a predicted model, not a curated record.